RNAcentral lists this ribosomal RNA (464 nucleotides) under Vreelandella stevensii. Its description in RNAcentral is "partial 16S ribosomal RNA". It matches the Rfam family "Bacterial small subunit ribosomal RNA", at positions 338 to 795 of the family's 1533-position model. The record is from RNAcentral. Lineage: Bacteria; Pseudomonadati; Pseudomonadota; Gammaproteobacteria; Oceanospirillales; Halomonadaceae.
CCUACGGUGGCUGCAGUGGGGAAUAUUGGACAAUGGGCGAAAGCCUGAUCCAGCCAUGCCGCGUGUGUGAAGAAGGCCUUCGGGUUGUAAAGCACUUUCAGUGGGGAAGAAAGCCUUGGGGCUAAUACCCUCGAGGAAGGACAUCACCCACAGAAGAAGCACCGGCUAACUCCGUGCCAGCAGCCGCGGUAAUACGGAGGGUGCGAGCGUUAAUCGGAAUUACUGGGCGUAAAGCGCGCGUAGGCGGUCUGAUAAGCCGGUUGUGAAAGCCCCGGGCUCAACCUGGGAACGGCAUCCGGAACUGUCAGGCUAGAGUGCAGGAGAGGAAGGUAGAAUUCCCGGUGUAGCGGUGAAAUGCGUAGAGAUCGGGAGGAAUACCAGUGGCGAAGGCGGCCUUCUGGACUGACACUGACGCUGAGGUGCGAAAGCGUGGGUAGCAAACAGGAUUAGAUACCCUAGUAGUC